RNAcentral lists this ribosomal RNA (156 nucleotides) under uncultured Clostridium sp. RNAcentral's name for it is "partial 16S ribosomal RNA". It matches the Rfam family "Bacterial small subunit ribosomal RNA", at positions 291 to 444 of the family's 1533-position model. The record is from RNAcentral. Lineage: Bacteria; Bacillati; Bacillota; Clostridia; Eubacteriales; Clostridiaceae.
CCUGAGAGGGUGAUCGGCCACAUUGGGACUGCGACACGGCCCAGACUCCUACGGGACGCAGCAGUGGGGAAUAUUGCACAAUGGGGGAAACCCCUGUGAUGCAGCACGCCGCGUGAGUGAUGACGGCCUUCGGGUUGUAAAGCUCUGUCUUCAGGG